UGCCUUUGCAACAAGAACAAAUUAAUGUAUAUAUGGAACGGUUAGCAUCUUCUUAAGGGUUUUGACAAUGAUACCUUUAUGCCAUACUUGCUACUAAUCAGUUAGUUUUUGCAGAACCCCAGUGAUGAGCCGCCAGACCCAAACACAAAAGCUAGGAGAAUUUUGGAAUCUACUGCUAGUGCGGUGUCAUGUUAGUAGGCUCUGACGAAACAAUCUCUUGGAUAAAAGAUCAAGCUUUAUCUUAUCCAUGUUAAGAGACGCUUUGUUUUUCACCGUGGCUCGUAGCUGGUGAUUUUGUUGGCAUCUCUAGUUAGACAACAUUGUAGAAGCAAAAUUGUUUUUCUAAGGACUUGCUCAAAUGGAAAUAGAGAUCGAGACAACUAGAUUUUAAGAUGCUAUAAUAGUACUGUUAUUAUCAUUAUUAUCCAAUUUUAGCUAUAGGAGAAAAACAAAGCCAUUAAUUUGCACAAGCUAUUAGCAUUAUUUGGUUCUUGAUAAUAGAUACUCCUUUCGUGUUGGUCAAAGCGCUGCCCUGUGGCUGGAGCUGUGGUGGCGCAUCGUAUUUUAUUAGCAACAGCGUUUGCAUGGCGGUGUUGCCGAGUAUGAAGGUGGUUUUUCUGAUGAUUUAGGUUUUGGUGGUUCAAUUUUCACUGUUGGUGGUUCAGGCUUC
RNAcentral lists this unclassified non-coding RNA (670 nucleotides) under Hevea brasiliensis (rubber tree). Lineage: Eukaryota; Viridiplantae; Streptophyta; Magnoliopsida; Malpighiales; Euphorbiaceae. The record is from RNAcentral.